Molecule: ribosomal RNA, 427 nt
Filed under: uncultured bacterium
Lineage: Bacteria
Description: partial 16S ribosomal RNA
Rfam family: Bacterial small subunit ribosomal RNA
Source: RNAcentral
GUGGGGAAUAUUGGGCAAUGGGGGAAACCCUGACCCAGCGACGCCGCGUGAGGGAAGACGGCCUUCGGGUUGUAAACCUCUUUUGUACGGGAAGAAGGAAGUGACGGUACUGUACGAAUAAGUCCCGGCUAACUACGUGCCAGCAGCCGCGGUAAUACGUAGGGGACGAGCGUUGUCCGGAAUUACUGGGCGUAAAGGGCGCGCAGGCUGUGCUGCAAGUCAGCUGUGAAAUGUCUGGGCUUAACCCGGGCAUGCGGUUGAGACUGCAGUGCUGGAGUGCUGGAGAGGCAAGUGGAAUUCCCAGUGUAGCGGUGAAAUGCGUAGAUAUUGGGAAGAACACCGGUGGCGAAGGCGACUUGCUGGGCAGCAACUGACGCUGAGGCGCGAAAGCCAGGGGAGCAAACGGGAUUAGAUACCCGUGUAGUCC